AUGGGCGUCAUUGAAGUUGAACCACCGGUGGACACUCCUGUCCACGGCGCCGAAGGCUUCUCCCGUCCACAACACCGGUCGACGCCCCGUUGUAGCACCGGUGUUGAAGCUUCGCGGCAGUUGUCGUUGGACAGUCAUCGCAGCCCCGCCUGCUUGUGGAAGCGCUGGCGGCUUGAGGUGGAAGGAGGGGGAGAGGUGGGGAGCCCCAAUGGUGAGGGAGGCGGAGGAAGGAGAGGGAGAGGUGGGCAGCACCGAUGGGGAGGGGAGCUGGAAGAAGGAGAAGGAGUGGUGGGUAGCAGCGGUGGAGAAUUGUGGCCAAGAACGCUCUAG
This 330-nucleotide ribosomal RNA is filed under the name Triticum aestivum (bread wheat). RNAcentral describes it as "partial small subunit ribosomal RNA". The record is from RNAcentral. Lineage: Eukaryota; Viridiplantae; Streptophyta; Magnoliopsida; Poales; Poaceae.